RNAcentral lists this ribosomal RNA (1228 nucleotides) under Macruronus novaezelandiae (blue grenadier). RNAcentral describes it as "partial 16S rRNA". It matches the Rfam family "Bacterial large subunit ribosomal RNA", at positions 700 to 2568 of the family's 2925-position model. The record is from RNAcentral. Lineage: Eukaryota; Metazoa; Chordata; Actinopteri; Gadiformes; Merlucciidae.
UUAUAGUUUGCAACCCCGAAACUGGGCGAGCUACUCCGAGCCAGCCCGUAAAUGUAAAUUAAAGGGGGCCAACCCGUCUCUGUGGCAAAAGAGUGGGAAGAGCUCCGAGUAGAGGUGACAAAUCUAUCGAGCCCAGUAAUAGCUGGUUGCCUGAGAAAUGAAUAGGAGUUCAGCCCUUUAGACUUUCCCACAUCACAAAUGCUCCCGCUAAUAAUAGAUAAAGGAAAAUAAAGGAGUUAAUCAAAAGGGGGACAGCCCUUUUGAUAUAAGAAACAACUUUAAUAGGUGGCCCAAGAUCAUAUUAACUAAGGAUUUCACACGAGGUGGGCCUAAGAGCAGCCAUCCCUAAAGAAUGCGUUCCAGCUCCAAUUACACGUCUUCCCUAUAUACUGAUAUUAAAUCUUCAUCCCUACCCACUACCAGGCUGUCUUAUGUUCCCCAUAAGAGUAAUAAUGCUAAAAUGAGUAAUAAGAAGAAACUAAUUCUUCUCCUUAGCACUAGUGUAAAUCGGAUCGGACCUACCACCGACUAUUACCCGACCCCAAACCAAGAGGGAAAUAAGAUGAACAAUCAAGGAAAACACUUAUAAUAAAUCGUUACCCCUACACAGGUGUGCAUUAAGGAAAGACUAAAAGAGACGGAAGGAACUCGGCAAACAAAAGCCUCGCCUGUUUACCAAAAACAUCGCCUCUUGCCCAAUAAGUAUAAGAGGUCUCGCCUGCCCUGUGACUAUUAGUUUAACGGCCGCGGUAUUUUAACCGUGCGAAGGUAGCGUAAUCACUUGUCUUUUAAAUGUGGACCUGUAUGAACGGCAUCACGAGGGCUUAACUGUCUCCCCUCUCCAGUCAAUGAAAUUAACCUCCCCGUGCAGAGGCGGGGAUAAGAAUAUAAGACGAGAAGACCCUGUGGAGCUUUAAACCUAAGACAAACCAUUCCUAGUAAGCUGUGAUACCAGUAUUAAGACUAGUGGUUUUUGUUGAAGUGUUUUUGGUUGGGGUGACCAUGGGGAAAAACACAACCCCCACGUGGACCGGGGAUAUUAUCCCUAACACUGAGAGCCCACACUCCAAGUAACAGAACUUCUGACCUUUAUGAUCCGGUAUUACCGAUCAACGGACCCAGUUACCCCAGGGAUAACAGCGCAAUCCCCUCUGAGAGCCCCUAUCGACGAGGGGGUUUACGACCUCGAUGUUGGAUCAGGACAUCCUAAUGGUGCAGCCGCUAUUAA